AUGUACAUUGAUGAAGAGAAAGAAGUGCAGAAUUUACGAAACAUAGGAAUUGAAAUUGUUAGUAAAUGUGGUUGCCUCCCUCUUGCCAUCAAGGUUACUGGUAGUGCUUUGGCAAGCAGAGAUCUAACAGAGAAUGCGUGGAAAAAGUUUUUGGCCAAAUAUAAUGGCUCCCAGAGCAUGCUGUUGGAUGAAAUACAAGGAGCUCUGUACCUAAGCUAUGAUGAGUUACCUCAUCGUCUGAAGCAGUGUUUCCUAUAUUGUGCUCUGUAUGCUGAAGAUUCUAUCAUUGCACUUGAUGAAGUUACCUGGUUAUGGAUUGCUGAAGGCUUCAUCGUGGAGCAGCAAGGCCAACUACUAGAAGACAUAGCAGAAGAGUACUAUUAUGAGCUAAUCCAUCGGAAUCUCCUCCAACCAGUUAAAAAUAUUUUUGACAAGUCUUCAUGUCGAAUGCAUGACCUCUUGAGACAGCUUGCUGUAAAUAUAUCAAAAGAGGAAUGCUUUGUUGGCGAUGUUGAAACAUUAAGGAGUGAAAGUAUGUCAAAACUGAGACGUGUUACUGCUGUCGCUAAGAAGGAUAAAUUAGUGUUACCUAGCAUGGAUAAGGUGGAAGUUAAGUUGAGGACAUUCCUUGCUUUUUCUGGUCCACAGAUAAUUGAGGAUGCAUUGUUCAAGAGAUUUCCGCUUCUCCGUGUUUUGGUAAUUAAUUACUCACUUGUACAAAGCAUUCCGAAUUCCAUUGGAAAAUUGAUACAUCUAUGCCUACUUAAUUUAGAUAAUACUGGCAUAUCUUGGCUUCCGAAAUCCAUUGGCUCCCUAAAGAACCUUCAGGUGCUGAGCUUGACAAGGUGUGUUGCUCUGCGCAGUCUACCUCCGGCAAUAACCCAAUUGUGCAGUUUAAGAUGUCUAAAUCUUCUUGGUACAAAAAUAUAUCAGCUUCCAAAAGGUAUUGGAAAAUUUAAGUUACUCACUGACUUAAAAGGAUUUCCUGGUGGUGAUGGAAGUGAUAAUGCUAGUGUACAAGAUGGAUGCAAGUUGGAAGAGUUGUCUUCUAUGUCGCAGAUGAGGCAUCUUAUUCUUGUUAAAUUGGAAAGAGCGGCUCAUUCUAGUAUAAAUGCAGGGCUGACAGACAAAAAACAUCUAAAAGAACUAGUACUAGCGUGGACUGGGCGUGAAGAUGGAUUAUAUUCAGAAGAACACGUUCGCAAUACUGAGAAGGUCCUUGAGCAGCUAAUACCUCCAAGCAAUCUGGAAGACCUUUUUAUUAUGGGAUUCUAUGGUCGGUGGUACCCCACCUGGUUUGGUACCACCUGUAUGUCUUCAUUAUUACUCCCUCCGUUCCAAAAUAGAUGA
This 1350-nucleotide ribosomal RNA is filed under the name Triticum aestivum (bread wheat). RNAcentral describes it as "partial small subunit ribosomal RNA". Lineage: Eukaryota; Viridiplantae; Streptophyta; Magnoliopsida; Poales; Poaceae. The record is from RNAcentral.